This is a non-coding RNA of Microcebus murinus (gray mouse lemur), 1110 nucleotides long. Lineage: Eukaryota; Metazoa; Chordata; Mammalia; Primates; Cheirogaleidae. The record is from RefSeq and is a predicted model, not a curated record.
CGGGGCGGCGCGCGUCUGACAGAACCCAGCACCUGAGAAAGGAGCCCGGCGGCCGCGCCUACCUGAAGCGGUGGCAGUUGGCAGAGGGGCGACGGUGCUGGAGGUGCUGUAAAGUCAGGGCCACGGAGGGAGGCAGGAGAUGCUGGUUUGCGCAGCCUUUCCUAAGCCCUCCAGCCCGUGGGUAGUCUCUCCGUAUAUCCGGGCGGGGUGGGAUGCCGCGUCUUCCGUUGGGGUCCGCGGCGUUCGGGUCACGGCGGGGAGGGAGGCGUUGUGGGGACGUCAGUGUGAAGAUCGCGCUUUCGGGACGAUGGCGGUUCCUCGUGUUUAUGCGCAGCAUUUCCUGGCGCUUCCUGUGGGAGAUCUGUGACUCGGAGGCCCGGAGAGCGUCAGUGGGCGAGGCGGCCCGCGCAGGGGCAGCCUGAGGGGGACCCGAGGUCGCGCCGAUGUGCACAGGACGGGCGGCGGCCUGGGGCCUGGCAGUGGGGCUCCGGUGCGGGAGCCGGGCCUUUGCCUUUGCCGGGGGCGACUUCCCCGAACUUCAGCGUUGUCAUCCGUGAGGAGGCCGUUGUUCCAGUGGCGGGGCCCAAGAAUCCAGGCGGUAAACAGAGGCAGGAAACACAGACCUCCUAGGCAUCCGAUCUGUGUCACGGUCCGUGCCUGUGUGCCUACUGCUGAAUUGUUCGAAAACCCACAUCUGAUCGUGUCACUCAGCUGCCAAAACCCUUCAGUGCCUGUGAGAUGAGGGCCUUCGCAGGAGCCGGCCCCAGCCUCCCUCUCCAGUUGCACCUCCCCAGAUUUUCAGGAACGCCUGGUAACUUACCUCUCCCUGCAUAUACCUCUGCUGUGCGUAAUUUUUUUCUUAUUUACAGCGCUGAACUCAAUAUUAGACACAAGAUGGCACCAGAACUGUACUUAAGGCUUGCUUUUAAUAAUCUUUUUUCAAGAAUAUAAAAACAAUGUCUGUAAUUUAAGGGCAACAUCUGAAUUUUCCAAAAGAUAUCUGUAAGUUCUCCUUAAUAACAUAAACAUUUUUUGCCAACUGAAUAUUCUCACAUACCUUACAAAUUAAAAAAAAAUGACUCUAAAUAAUGAACAUAAUCACACCUAAAA